GACGAACGCUGGCGGCGUGCUUAACACAUGCAAGUCGAACGGUGAAGCGCCUUCCUUCUUGGUGGGUGUGGAUGAGUGGCGAACGGGUGAGUAACACGUGAGUAACCUGCCCCCUUCUUCUGGAUAACCGCAUGAAAGUGUGGCUAAUACGGGAUAUUCUGGGUCUGUCGCAUGAUGGGUCUGGGAAAGAUAUUGUUUCGGUGGGGGAUGGGCUCGCGGCCUAUCAGCUUGUUGGUGGGGUGAUGGCCUACCAAGGCGGUGACGGGUAGCCGGCCUGAGAGGGUGGACGGUCCCACUGGGACUGAGACACGGCCCCGACUCCUACGGGAGGCAGCAGUGGGGAAUAUUGCACAAUGGGCGCAAGCCUGAUGCAGCGACGCCGCGUGAGGGAUGGAGGCCUUCGGGUUGUGAACCUCUUUCGCCAGUGAAGCAGGCCUGCCUCGUUUGUGGGUGGGUUGACGGUAGCUGGAUAAGAAGCGCCGGCUAACUACGUG
RNAcentral lists this ribosomal RNA (494 nucleotides) under uncultured bacterium. RNAcentral's name for it is "partial 16S ribosomal RNA". It matches the Rfam family "Bacterial small subunit ribosomal RNA", at positions 28 to 507 of the family's 1533-position model. The record is from RNAcentral.